Molecule: unclassified non-coding RNA, 404 nt
Filed under: Hevea brasiliensis (rubber tree)
Lineage: Eukaryota; Viridiplantae; Streptophyta; Magnoliopsida; Malpighiales; Euphorbiaceae
Source: RNAcentral
GCCCUUCCUCAGUCAGCAUGUACCUAAAAUAGCAUAGUCACAUCCAUUUAUUCAUGAAAGAUCAAACAAGAAAUGUGCAGCAUUUAAGAAAGAUACAAAUUUAAGUACAUAAAUCAGAUUACAAAACAAUACUUCAUUUCCACUGUGAAAUGUUGAAUUGCUAAAUCAGGUUGACUAGCAUUUACAUAUAAUACAACUAAUCAGUGAUUCAGUGUCCAGCAAUAGACUAAGAAUGCAUUUCAAGCCAUAUCACUUAAACACGCACAUGUACUACUAGCUGAUAUGUUUUCCCUAAACUUCAUACAUGAAUCACACAUGCAUGGUCAAGUUGAGUGCAAAAGAUUCCUCUCAAAGCAUUUUAAAAUUUAAAAAUUUUUCCAUUGUGUCCCAAAAGUGAAGCUUUU